CACCGCCCCGCCACUCCUGCCCAGUACUGGACAGCUGGGUGAGGCCACCUCCAAUGUUCCAGUCCAGCUGUCAUCUGCCUGCAGCCGCAUGAGACCCCACAUGACACUCUGCCCUUCCCGGGCUGCCGCUCAUGCCACGGCGCAGCCCCUGGGCACCCAGCCCUCACCCCUGGAGUCGGCCCCACUCAGCAUCAUACCUGCCUCAGCCCCAAUCCCCAAUCCCCCUGGGGAGCCUUGGUCUCACAGCGGCAAAUGACGGUGACGGUGGUUUAGUCAACAGUCCGAGCGCAGCCGCAGGACCGACCUCCCGCUGCCGGAGAUGGCCACUCUGGAGAGCCAGGCUUCUUUCAGAGCCAGGAGCUGACCCGCGACCCUGGCGUCCCCUGAGAAGGUGCGCGUCGGGCUCUGGAAGCUUCAGCCUCUCGAACUGUCUCUGGCAAAUCCGUUGAGACCUGCAGCGCCCGGCUGUCAGCCCUUCAACGUCGCCCCCAAACCCACAGCUGCCCCCGAUGUGGGAGGGCUGGGUGUCCCAGGACAGAGCCGCCUCGCAGUGGGCCCUUGCCGCCCCGGGACCAUCCUGCCGCCCCAAGAAGAGCUGGAAAGAGCAGAGCUGGCCUUCGCCCUCACGCCUGCCAUCCCCGGACACGGCCCAGCAGGGCGACCCUGCGCCGGCCACACACCUCUCUCCCCGGAGAGGCCCGGUCCUGGUUUCUUAGAGCAUCGAACAUGGAGAGAUCGCCCAUGUCCACAAAGACCACUGCGGUAUUUAUCAACUCAACUAAAAAGCAAAUGACACUCACCAUAUGGCUCGUCUAAGACCAGUUUCUAAACAAAUACCCUGAAUAAAAUGAAAACCAGCCAUUGUUUCAGAACAAAGGUAUAAUCAAAUUCUAAUUUUCUAUUCCAAUAAACAUCUUUGAAUUAA
Equus quagga is the source of this 925-nucleotide long non-coding RNA. RefSeq lists it as uncharacterized. The transcript is spliced from 2 exons. The record is from RefSeq and is a predicted model, not a curated record. NCBI's taxonomy places the organism in Eukaryota, Metazoa, Chordata, Mammalia, Perissodactyla, Equidae.